GGAAUAUUGGGCAAUGGAGGCAACUCUGACCCAGCCAUCCCGCGUGAAGGAUGAAGGAUCUCUGGUUCGUAAACUUCUUUUAUUGGGGAAGAAAAAGCCCGAUUUAUCGGGAACUGACGGUACCCAAUGAAUAAGCACCGGCUAACUCCGUGCCAGCAGCCGCGGUAAUACGGAGGGUGCAAGCGUUAUCCGGAUUCACUGGGUUUAAAGGGUGCGUAGGCGGCCUGAUAAGUCAGUGGUGAAAGCCCGCAGCUCAACUGCGGAAUUGCCAUUGAAACUGCCAGGCUUGAAUCCGGCUGAAGUGGGCGGAAUAUAUCAUGUAGCGGUGAAAUGCUUAGAUAUGAUGUAGAACACCGAUUGCGAAGGCAGCUCACUAAGCCGACAUUGACGCUGAGGCACGAAAGCGUGGGGAGCGAACAGGA
RNAcentral lists this unclassified non-coding RNA (422 nucleotides) under plant metagenome. RNAcentral's name for it is "partial contains 5.8S ribosomal RNA, internal transcribed spacer 2, and large subunit ribosomal RNA". It matches the Rfam family "Bacterial small subunit ribosomal RNA", at positions 358 to 777 of the family's 1533-position model. The record is from RNAcentral.